UAUCCUUUGCAGACGACUUGAAUAGAACGGAGUGCUGUAAGCAGUAGAGUAGCCUUGUUGCUACGAUCUGCUGAGGCUCAGCUCUUGUUCUACAGAUUUGUGCUUUAGCACUCUCUCCGGUUGCACUAGAGUGGGGCAGUGUACUGUACACACUCUCGAGCCAUCGCAGACAGUGACUUGAUGCAUCAGACCCAUGGGUUGUAGCGUCCAAGUUGGUAAGAUAUGGCCUAGGCUGGACUCGGGUUGAAUUCUUGGUAGUAUGGCCACCGAGUGUGGCACUGCCUCAGACUUGAACUUUAAUAGCCCAAUAUAUUAGCCGGCCGGCUGUAUACUACGGCCAAAGUCUUAGUAGCUAGUUAACGGUAGUUUGGAGUGAAGUGCAGCACUUGAUUGUGCUGCAUUGCAAGCUGCCGGCCUGGCAGCCGUGAGGUUUAUAAGCCAUUAAACUGUAUACUAGUAUCUACGGCCAUAGGACUGAGAAAAUACCGCAUCCCGUCCGAUCUUCGAAGUCAAGCUA
RNAcentral lists this unclassified non-coding RNA (517 nucleotides) under Cutaneotrichosporon dermatis. Lineage: Eukaryota; Fungi; Basidiomycota; Tremellomycetes; Trichosporonales; Trichosporonaceae. The record is from RNAcentral.